CAUUCUAAAACAGCAGUGGGUCUUUAUGAAUCAUUUAAACAACGCCCUCAGCCUAUUCCUGGACAAGAGAAGACGAGCUCAGACUGAAAGAAAGGGAAGAAUCUUACAGAUGGACUGUCUAUCGAGUUACGCAUGAUUCGAUCUAUCUGCUGGAGUUGCACAUGUUUUCUAGGUAAUGUGUACUCGGAAAAUAGUAUGCAAAUGAAGAAUCGCAGCUUUGGCAGUCUCACAGAGGGGAUUCUCCACAGGUGCAGGACCACGAGGUCACAGAAUGUGUAGCAAGUGACCACCAAUUGAUGCCCCUCCCAAACAAGCAGAGAGCAACAGGGAUCUGACCCAUGGGCUUUGUCCCUGCUCCAUGUCAUUGUGGGAAAGAAAGAUGAUGAUAUUGAAUGACUACAAGGAGGAAACCACAUAUUUGCAGCCCAAGCAAACAAGCAUCACACUAAAGCAAAAGGUGAAAGCGUAAGAACCUAUUUAAAGAAAUAAACAAACACUGUUCUACUGCGAUUCAGUGUCAGAGAUAUUUACUCCCAC
Molecule: long non-coding RNA, 537 nt
Organism: Cyprinus carpio carpio
Lineage: Eukaryota; Metazoa; Chordata; Actinopteri; Cypriniformes; Cyprinidae
Source: Ensembl